Amphimedon queenslandica is the source of this 281-nucleotide long non-coding RNA. RefSeq lists it as uncharacterized. The transcript has 4 exons. Lineage: Eukaryota; Metazoa; Porifera; Demospongiae; Haplosclerida; Niphatidae. The record is from RefSeq and is a predicted model, not a curated record.
GACCAGACUAUCAGCCAUUAGUGGAUAAUAAAAGAAUAAUUGAGAAAUUACAAGAAAGAAUAACAUUAAUGAAUAUGGAACUAAUUACUGAAAGAGAACACAAUGAGAAGAUUAAAAAAGAUAUUGAAGAUUUGCAACAACUAAUGACUGAAAGAGAACACAAUGAGAAGAUUAUAAAAGAUAUUACAGAUCAUUUUAAAGAGACUGAGGAGAAAAGACAGAGAGGAGAAAAGAAACAAAAAAUUGGAAAAGAAAUGUUUGGAAUUAUAUUAUUUUGUAAU